GACUAACCCAAGGUUGACUCCGUGUACCUCCUCCUGCAAGACUGGCCAACCCCUGACAAGCAGCAACCUCGCUAACAAUUAUUAUCCCGUGAGUUCAUACGAGUAGAGGUGGGGAAACUGCAAAAGCAAGGGGAAUUGAAUACUCUGUUGAAAGAAAGUGCUGAUUGAUGAUGGAUUCCACGCAAGUGUGCCAUCCGCGCGAAUGGAACCCGAGAUCAACCAAUAUAGCUGAUACAUAUGUGUGUCAUAGCCGGACGGGACAUACUUCUAUUUCAUGAGCGGCCUCUGAAUUGCAGCGCAGACACAUAUACAAGCAACUGAGUAUAUUAUUUAUCUACCAAACCAAGAAACUUCAAACUCGGGGGGAACAUCGAUAAAAGAUUCGUGAAAAUAAAGCGGUGUGCCUAGUAUUUAAACUACUAGAACUCGCGUCCAAAGAUCAAUCAGGAAAACUCCUCAACGGAGGGCAUCAUAUCAUCAAAACCUAUCCUUCUCUAUUCGAUACACGCGAUCCAUAUUAUCCUCAAUUCUACCAUUCCAAGCAUCACCCGAUUGGACGUUCAAGACCUGUUUUACGAAUGGGAAUCCGAUCAAUUUUUUCAAGUCAACAAAAACUGCCCUCCAGAGGCUGUGCCAGCGCUAAAGCCAGAUCUUGUGAAACCAGAGUUUGUUGUGUUUUGAAGGCUGUGGAAGCAGGAUAUCGUGGAGGAAUUUCGGGGGAAGGAAAGAGCAGAGAAUAGUGGUGGAUGGGAGUUUUAAGAAACAGAAUUGAAUUGCGUGGAAUAAGAAACUAUAUGCUUUGAAAGGAGCCAAUUCCGAUGGAUGGGAUAACUAGGCAAGAUUUGUAUGUACUAGGGUUGUCCCGGGUGCUUUUGCCUUUAUUAUAACUCGUCAUCUUUCACAUCCAUAGGUACAUACAGUACUCUGUACAAUCAAUCUACCUCUCCAGUAAGCUCUCUCUUGGACGCGUUUUGCUAUGAAGAGACAGAGAAUUAAAAUAUGGAAUACUCGGUUAAGUAUGGCAAAUGACGUGCGGGAUUACUCAACCGUUGUUUAUGGCUGAUACUUCCCCCACGCUGCGCCGGGGAUUCGUCGCGGUAAUAGAACA
Molecule: small RNA, 1108 nt
Filed under: Histoplasma capsulatum var. duboisii H88
Lineage: Eukaryota; Fungi; Ascomycota; Eurotiomycetes; Onygenales; Ajellomycetaceae
Description: Histoplasma capsulatum H88 hypothetical RNA
Source: RNAcentral